Anolis carolinensis (green anole) is the source of this 78-nucleotide microRNA precursor. Lineage: Eukaryota; Metazoa; Chordata; Lepidosauria; Squamata; Anolidae. The record is from Ensembl.
AUGUGUUGUGUUACUUGACAUUUUUCUACUCGUAUGGUACUACUUUUUUGGAAUGAGAUCUCGAGUAGCUUAGCAAAG